Molecule: transfer RNA, 67 nt
Filed under: Agrilus mali
Lineage: Eukaryota; Metazoa; Arthropoda; Insecta; Coleoptera; Buprestidae
Description: tRNA-Phe
Source: RNAcentral
AUUUAAAUAGCUUAAAUUAUUAGAGCGUAAUAUUGAAGAUAUUAAAGUGGUGUUAAACCUUUAAAUA